UUUCUUAUUAUUAAUAUUAGCUUAAUCAGCAAUCAAUCACAAGUCUUAUUUUGAUUUUGAGGCUCCCGUUUUUACAUUUCUCUCUCUGGUAAUAAAUGUGAAUUUUUCAAUCUACAGAAUUUAGGCGUAUUUUGGUCUUAUUUCUUACAAGAAAAAAAAGUUUACAAUAACAAUUAGUUGGAAUUUAUUAACGAUUCUAUACAUAAAUGAAAUGCCAAGCAUGGAAAAAAAUGUGUAUGAAUUUGAAAUUUCGCUAAAAGGAAUAGAACCGAAAAUAUGGCGAAAAAUCCAAGUUCCAGAAGAUUAUACAUUUUUCUAUUUUAGUCAAGUGAUUAAUAACGCAAUUGGUUGGAGUGGUCAUCCGAUUCACCUUCAUCGAUUUGAAAUGAAUAAUCCUGAAACUGAUUCGCCGGAAAUAAUUGGCGAAGAUCCAGCUGCAACAGAUUCCUCUUCGACUCUCGACGAGAGAGACACAGCAAUUAAGGACUUAUUUGUUGACAGCGAUAGUAGAGCAAUAUUUAUAUACGAUUUAGGUUGUCAUUGGGAACACGAUGUGAAAUUAACGAGAAUAUUACCAGAGAUUCCUGGGAAAACAUAUCCCGUUUGCAUUGGCGGUGAACGCGCUUGUCCAUCGGAGCAUUGCGAUGGGUUCGAGGAGUAUCAGGAAUUGUUGGAUAAAAAAGCAAAACCAAAAGAUGAACUCACCGAGGAAGAGGAGAGGCAACUUGAUGUUUGUUACAUGGGCGAUGAUUUUGAUCCCGAAUUUUUUGACCCCGAUGAUGUUGAUUUAAUUGCUGUUCAUGAUUGGGAUGAUUGGGAUUAAGAGCUAGAGAGGAUUCAAAAAACUUUAAAGUAAUUGUUUUUCAACCGUGUCUUCCAUUUCGAAAUGCUAAAAAAGAAGAUUUGCGGUAUGUCUUCUCUACCUUCAGCGACGGAUCAGACCAAAACUUUCAUUAUAAAUGAAAUUUUCAGAAUGCGGACAAAAAUAUAUACCAUAUACAUAUAUACGAAUUUCAAGUUUCAUUGAAGGGAAUAGAACCGAAAAUAUGGCGAAAAUUAAAUUAAAUUAAAUUAAAUUUGGUGAUUAUUAGCGUCAUAUGGGCUGGUCAAAUAGUGCACUACUUUUCAUUUUCAUAAUUUUGAAAUGGAAAAUCCUGAGAAUGAUAGUGAGGUAUUAAUUUAUGAAGAAUUAACCUAGUGUGGACGAUUUCUGUGACAAUCUCGACGAGAAAAAAACAAAAAUUAAGGAUUUUUUGGAUUUUUUUAAUAUCAGUAACAGUUAACCCGCUGUUCCUGGGGAAUUGUAUCCUUUGUGUCCACCUGAAGAAUGUAAAGGGAUGGAAAUUUAUCAGAAAAUGCUGGAGAGGAAAGCAAAGCCAGAAGAAGAGCUGACCGAGGAAGAAGACAUGGGCUACGAUUUU
Leptopilina heterotoma is the source of this 1421-nucleotide RNA transcript. RefSeq lists it as uncharacterized. Lineage: Eukaryota; Metazoa; Arthropoda; Insecta; Hymenoptera; Figitidae. The transcript has 4 exons. The record is from RefSeq and is a predicted model, not a curated record.